This is a long non-coding RNA of Alosa sapidissima (American shad), 744 nucleotides long. RefSeq lists it as uncharacterized. The transcript is spliced from 5 exons. The record is from RefSeq and is a predicted model, not a curated record. Lineage: Eukaryota; Metazoa; Chordata; Actinopteri; Clupeiformes; Clupeidae.
GUCCACAGCUUGUAAAAACAAAAAGUCUCAGAAAUAAACAUUAAAAUUCAAGAUGGCGGUGAGACUGUACCCAGAGAAGGACAAUCCAGGCAACACUGACCAGAGACCUGCACUAGUUUGGAUGAAGAACGCUACAUACAUUUGUGAACCAUUUCUUGUGUUGGAAAAACAGGAGACCUGAAGAGUUCUUGAUGCUUUUGGUUUGCCUCAUCCAUUAUGUCAGCAAAGAACAGGAGUGGGCAGGAAACAGGAAUGCGCUGUUGAAAACAUGGCCAACCAACUGGAGCAGAGUCCACAAGCCUUUGUGCUUCAGGAUGGAUGUAAAAAACUCUUUGAUCAACCCCCAACUGAGAGAGUUGAGGUGGCUAUCUUUUGGAGACACCCCCGGCUGGUAGUGCUGCUGAAACUGGUGGAGGCAACAGAAAGAGAAGGGACGUGGCAAAGGUUGCUGCUAUUGAAAAAUACUUUGAGAGUGAGUGUGUGUGCAUGUGUGUAGCUGGGUAGGUCAUGGUACAUGGUAGAAAAAUACAGAAUUUAAAGCAUUAACACAAUACUUAACUCACAACCCACAACUACUGACAAUGGAAUUACUCUUUUAGAGUGAGUGAGGGAGAGAGACAGAAUAUUUCUGUAAAUGUUUAAUGUUAAUUUAGAAUAAUUAAUUUCUUUGAAUCAUUAUACAGUUUUAAAAUGUUUAAUUGUUUGUGUUUUUUAAUAUGAAAGAUGUCGAUUGUUGUAGAUGAA